This 440-nucleotide ribosomal RNA is filed under the name uncultured bacterium. RNAcentral describes it as "partial 16S ribosomal RNA". It matches the Rfam family "Bacterial small subunit ribosomal RNA", at positions 338 to 795 of the family's 1533-position model. The record is from RNAcentral.
CCUACGGGUGGCAGCAGUGGGGAAUAUUGCACAAUGGGGGAAACCCUGAUGCAGCGACGCCGCGUGAAGGAAGAAGUAUUUCGGUAUGUAAACUUCUAUCUGCAGGGAAGAAAAUGACGGUACCUGUCUACGAAGCCCCGGCUAACUACGUGCCAGCAGCCGCAGUAAUACGUAGGGGGCAAGCGUUAUCCGGAUUUACGGGGUGUAAAGGGAGCGUAGGCGGUUUAGCAAGUCAGAAGUGAAAGGCCGGGGCGCAACUCCGGGACUGCUUUUGAAACUGUUGAACUAGAUUGCCGGAGAGGUAAGUGGAAUUCCUAGUGUAGCGGUGAAAUGCGUAGAUAUUAGGAGGAACACCAGUGGCGAAGGCGGCUUACUGGACUGUAAAUGACGCUGAGGCUCGAAAGCGUGGGGAGCAAACAGGAUUAGAUACCCGGGUAGUC